This 295-nucleotide long non-coding RNA is filed under the name Setaria viridis. RNAcentral describes it as "long non-coding RNA (SVIR_LNC000018)". The record is from RNAcentral. Lineage: Eukaryota; Viridiplantae; Streptophyta; Magnoliopsida; Poales; Poaceae.
AAAAUCAAUGGCUCACAAGAAUUGGGCUUGUGAGCAGCAUUUGGGCUGUUUUCUUGAACAUUGCUGGGCUCCAAGUCAUCCUCCAUGUGGAGGGAUAGCCCAACAAUAGGCGCAUGAGUGUGCUCAUGCAAAAAAUUUUAAUAUCAACUGCCUCAAUAUUCGGUCACAAAUAUCAUUUCUACAUACGGUUAACACAUCCGAUCAAAUUUAAGUAUUCAAAUUUACUCCAAGGUUGGUUUGAAAGUCUUCAAAUUUACUUACUCCAAGAUCACUCUAUCCCAGCCCAUAACCACCC